Molecule: ribosomal RNA, 432 nt
Filed under: uncultured bacterium
Lineage: Bacteria
Description: bacterial SSU rRNA
Rfam family: Bacterial small subunit ribosomal RNA
Source: RNAcentral
ACGAACGCUGGCGGCAGGCUUAACACAUGCAAGUCGAACGCGUGUAGCAAUACACGAGUGGCGCACGGGUGAGUAACGCGUGGGAACGUGCCUUUUAGUCUGGGAUAACUACGGGAAACUGUAGCUAAUACCGGAUACGCCCUUCGGGGGAAAGUUUUUCGCUAAAAGAUCGGCCCGCGUUAGAUUAGGUAGUUGGUGGGGUAAAAGCCUACCAAGCCUACGAUCUAUAGCUGUUCUGAGAGGAAGACCAGCCACACUGGAACUGAGACACGGUCCAGACUCCUACGGGAGGCAGCAGUGGGGAAUAUUGGACAAUGGGGGAAACCCUGAUCCAGCCAUGCCGCGUGAGUGAUGAAGGCCUUAGGGUUGUAAAGCUCUUUUGCCAGGGAAGAUGAUGACGGUACCUGGAGAAUAAGCACCGGCUAACUUCGU